Papaver somniferum (opium poppy) is the source of this 1134-nucleotide long non-coding RNA. RefSeq lists it as uncharacterized. The record is from RefSeq and is a predicted model, not a curated record. NCBI's taxonomy places the organism in Eukaryota, Viridiplantae, Streptophyta, Magnoliopsida, Ranunculales, Papaveraceae. The transcript is spliced from 3 exons.
AUGGAGCAGAACCAAAAUUCAGAAAACACCUUCAACUGACUUCCCCCCUCUCGAUUGAUAACCCCAAUCAAUCUGAUAAACAGAAAAGAAAAGAUGCUCAAUAUCCAUACCCUUCCCAGAAAAAGACGAAACAAGCCUUGAUUUCUGUCUCAAACCCUAAAGGAGGAGCUUUCACAAACCCUAAUCUCCCAGAAAAUACUCCGUUAACCUUUCAUUGUGGAGCCUCUGGUAAACCCCCUCUACCAGACUACAUCAAAAAACCCAUUAAAUCUCGAAAGGAGACCAAGGAUGCUAAAGGGAGGAGACUUGUAAGUGAUUCUGAGAUUAAAGUGGAUGCAAUUGGUGGCUCCUCGUCUGCAAAACAGUUUGAAAUCACUAAAUGCCAGGUGGCUUUGCAUUUGGCAGUGGUUUGAGGGGCUAUUCCUGCAAUUAAUAUUUAGAAAUUUUGUGUAUACCCAGAAUCGGUAAUGGUGCUUAUUAACGUUCAACUCAGCUACUGAGGAUGUAGAAUCCAAUCGCUGGCCUCCAAUAUGAAUCACUUUCGCGGAAAUAUUCUUUGGGCAUAUGGUUUUGAUGUAUGAUUUUGGAGUUUCUAUGUUUAUUGGCAUUCCUCGUAGUCUCUUACGUAACUGAAGUUUGAUUAUCAGGCUCUUAACUUAUAUUGCAAUGGUGAUACGUCACACAAAUGAAAAAAUGACGCUUUCUCGUGCAACAAGUGCAAAAUACAUACAAGGUACAAACUUAUUCCGCCGAAUGUUAACACCACAUAUUGGUUCUUAAAGUUGUUACCAGUUAAGUCAUUAUUGAAGGUGCAGAUGCCUGGACAGUAGCAUGCGAUGGUUGUUAGGUGACCAAGGUGUGUGUUCUCUAUCUAUGGAGUAACGCAUAAAAUAGUAGAGGAGCAAGAUGCAAGCGCUGGCAUGGUGUAUGUGUAUAUCACAAUUAGUAUAUAAAGUAGAAAUCCCUAGAAAUUAUUACUCAAAGAGGUGACGCGGUACUGUAAAUCCCUUUGUGCAUGGAUAUGUACUUGAAACAAUGUCUCAAGCGGGAAUUUUUGUUUAUUCACUUAUUUUAUAGAUGUAUGUUGAGUUUUCCCCCCCCCCUUCACUUUGCGAUACGUAAACCAUCUGGCGU